GGAGCUCGGCGCCGUCGAGCCAGACGGCGGCGACGCGGUCGUACUGGUCGCCGGCGCAGGAGGCGGAGAAGGUGAGCACGACGAGGGACCAGGGCGCGGGGCACCCGGCGGGGGGCGCGUACGAGGCCUUGGCCGGCGCGGCGCCGUAGGUGUCGCCGAAGGAGUAGGAGAGGACCGGCACGGUGCAGGACGGCGCCGCCGGCGGGGGCGCGGGGAGCGGGAAGGUCGGGUCGAGGUACUCCUUGGCCGCCGCGCUGGCACCCGGGCCCUGCGGGGCGCGGAGGACGGCGUAGCGGUCAGGGACCUCGUCGGCGCAGGCGAGGAGCGGGAGGAGGAGGAGGAGAUAGAGCGGCGGCGCCAUCCUCUGCGGCCGCCGCGACGCGAGGUAGUUGGUGUUGGUCGCUGCUCCGGAGUAGUAGCGUGGGUUGCUACGAUGGCGUUGGAUUUGGGGAUUUUGGAGCUUUUUUUUACUCUGCUCGAACUAUUGUGUUCAGACCUCAGAACUUCAGGUUGCCGGCUGUUGAUCGUGUCGUGUCACCUCUACCAUACGUUCAGGCUUGUCUUCUUCUUACCUGACGCUCAGGACCUUUUGAAUC
This 596-nucleotide small RNA is filed under the name Oryza sativa Japonica Group (Japanese rice). Its description in RNAcentral is "sRNA Os05g0395025". The record is from RNAcentral. Lineage: Eukaryota; Viridiplantae; Streptophyta; Magnoliopsida; Poales; Poaceae.